GAGAUCCCUGUGUACCUGAGGCCUUCCAAAGCUAUUUUAGAGGAUACCUGCCAUUUGGAUGGGGGCUGCUUGAUACUGGAGAAGAACCCAGAGGUGAUGAGAUCACAGGAGAAGAGCUAAAUGAAUCAUGUGGCUUCCCACCUGAUGUAGGAGGAAUAGGCACAUUUCCCCAACCGGUGUUCAGCAGACCAUCUGCUUAGUAUAGAGCUGUGAGACUGAUGAUGGGACAAACAGGCCAAGAGAGUGGUAGUAAAUCACCAUUACUAAGUACUGUCAUGGUAGAGCCCUGAAGGAAGCUAACUCACUCUACUUGUUAUGGCAGGUAACUUCUCUUAAAACUGCCUUGGGGCCUGAGGUCUUGAAAGGUGACAGACACGGGACGCUCUGCAGAAGAAAUCCCAUGGAGAUCCUGUGGUCAGCUGAGAACUGCCCUGAGUAAUUUAGUUGGUACUAAGGCAAGGAGCUGAAUUAAUGAGCAGCACUAGAGGUAUAAUGUGUUGGACGAGAGUCAAUGCGAUGCUUAAAAAACAAAAUUCUGCUUUUCAAAACCUACUGUAGAUGUGGUGGGGUGAGCGAGCCUGUGCCAAAGAAAAGUCAGAAGAGCAGCUUACUUGAGCUUAAAAGAGUCCCUCUUUCAGAGCAAGAGUUUAAGGAAUUGUAUGCCUGUCCUGCCCUUUCUCUUUAUCAGUUAGCUGCUUUUGGUCACUGGUGGCUACAUAGAGCUUUCCUCUGACUCCAUAUAGGUCUGAGAGUCAGAAAAACAUAUGGCAAAAAAACUUGUAUCUUUAAAUACAUAAUUUCUUCUCUGCUGGGCCUUCCGUGCUUCCCAUAAAAUUGGGUAACAGCUUUGUCUUGAAAGUCCUCUGCCAGUUAUGUGGAACUCCAACACUGCAGCAACUGCAUUUGUGUACUGUUUGGAUAGGGCUGGUUAUGUGCUGGCUAGCUCCCUGCCUGAGAAGAGAGCGGUGCUGAAGGAGGAACCUCUGUGUUCUGAUAUCUAAAUGUAAUACUGAGGGCUUAUCAUCUAUGUGUGAGGCUAUUUCUCAGCUUGCAGUCAUUUGUUCUGUGCCCUGUGUAUGUCCCAGUUUCUCCCGCAGAUACAUCAGAGCUCAGAUGGCUGAUCUUCCUUACAGAACCAGAUCAGCCCCCAGUAAAUGCUUUUACUGUGGAGAAAGCAAGACUUGGUGCUGCAAAAAUGUUCCAUGGCACAUCUAAGCAUACAUAAAAAAUAAGAAUCAGCAUUUUCAAAGUGAUUUAUGUUCUGAUAUCUCCCAGCUUUUGAAUACUUGACUUGGUGACAUAUACUGUCAUUUAAAAUGUUUUCAUUGCACUUGUCCGCUACUGGUGAAGGAAAAGAGGCAGAACAGGUGCUGAAACAUUAAUUAAAAUAAAACCAGGUGUCCAACCCCCCAGAGAAGCCUGUUGUACCCUGAACACCAUGUUGUGCAGUCUCCUGCAGUGCAGGCAGAAUCUUCUUAGCCAGUUCGCAAACUGGAGGUGCCACAAGCUCUGCUUGGGUUCACGCCUGAGGUGGCACAGAGCUGCAUGGCUCCCUGGCAGUGUCAGGCAGAGAGGUGUUCACUAUUUUGGUGCCAGCUCUCCAGCAGGCUUUAUCUAGUCCGUGUUUUUGGGAUCUUAAAACAAGUUAUUUUUUAGAAGUGAAGAG
Molecule: long non-coding RNA, 1666 nt
Organism: Gallus gallus (chicken)
Lineage: Eukaryota; Metazoa; Chordata; Aves; Galliformes; Phasianidae
Source: Ensembl